Molecule: ribosomal RNA, 490 nt
Filed under: uncultured Corynebacterium sp.
Lineage: Bacteria; Bacillati; Actinomycetota; Actinomycetes; Mycobacteriales; Corynebacteriaceae
Description: partial 16S ribosomal RNA
Source: RNAcentral
CACGUAGUUAGCCGGUGCUUCUUCUACCACUACCGUCACCCCAAAAGAGGCUUCGUCAUGGCUGAAAGGAGUUUACAACCCGAAGGCCGUCAUCCCCCACGCGGCGUCGCUGCAUCAGGCUUGCGCCCAUUGUGCAAUAUUCCCCACUGCUGCCUCCCGUAGGAGUCUGGGCCGUAUCUCAGUCCCAAUGUGGCCGUCCACCCUCUCAGGCCGGCUACCCGUCGACGCCUUGGUAGGCCAUUACCCCACCAACAAGCCUGAUAGGCCGCGAGCUCAUCCCUUACCGAAAAAAUCUUUCCACCACACCACCUACAGCAUGGUCCUAUCCAGUAUUAGACCCAGUUUCCCAGGCUUAUCCCAAGUAAGGGCAGAUCACCCACGUGUUACUCACCCGUUCGCCACUCGAGCACCCUGCAAGCAGGGCCUUCCGUUCGACUUGCAUGUGUUAAGCACGCCGCCAGCGUUCGUCCUGAGCCAGGACUCGAACUCU